Molecule: ribosomal RNA, 2905 nt
Filed under: Escherichia coli
Lineage: Bacteria; Pseudomonadati; Pseudomonadota; Gammaproteobacteria; Enterobacterales; Enterobacteriaceae
Also listed under: 9 other names
Description: 23S ribosomal RNA
Rfam family: Bacterial large subunit ribosomal RNA
Source: RNAcentral
GGUUAAGCGACUAAGCGUACACGGUGGAUGCCCUGGCAGUCAGAGGCGAUGAAGGACGUGCUAAUCUGCGAUAAGCGUCGGUAAGGUGAUAUGAACCGUUAUAACCGGCGAUUUCCGAAUGGGGAAACCCAGUGUGAUUCGUCACACUAUCAUUAACUGAAUCCAUAGGUUAAUGAGGCGAACCGGGGGAACUGAAACAUCUAAGUACCCCGAGGAAAAGAAAUCAACCGAGAUUCCCCCAGUAGCGGCGAGCGAACGGGGAGGAGCCCAGAGCCUGAAUCAGUGUGUGUGUUAGUGGAAGCGUCUGGAAAGGCGCGCGAUACAGGGUGACAGCCCCGUACACAAAAAUGCACAUACUGUGAGCUCGAUGAGUAGGGCGGGACACGUGGUAUCCUGUCUGAAUAUGGGGGGACCAUCCUCCAAGGCUAAAUACUCCUGACUGACCGAUAGUGAACCAGUACCGUGAGGGAAAGGCGAAAAGAACCCCGGCGAGGGGAGUGAAAAAGAACCUGAAACCGUGUACGUACAAGCAGUGGGAGCACAGAGCAAUCUGUGUGACUGCGUACCUUUUGUAUAAUGGGUCAGCGACUUAUAUUCUGUAGCAAGGUUAACCGAAUAGGGGAGCCGAAGGGAAACCGAGUCUUAACCGGGCGUUAAGUUGCAGGGUAUAGACCCGAAACCCGGUGAUCUAGCCAUGGGCAGGUUGAAGGUUGGGUAACACUAACUGGAGGACCGAACCGACUAAUGUUGAAAAAUUAGCGGAUGACUUGUGGCUGGGGGUGAAAGGCCAAUCAAACCGGGAGAUAGCUGGUUCUCCCCGAAAGCUAUUUAGGUAGCGCCUCGUGAAUUCAUCUCCGGGGGUAGAGCACUGUUUCGGCAAGGGGGUCAUCCCGACUUACCAACCCGAUGCAAACUGCGAAUACCGGAGAAUGUUAUCACGGGAGACACACGGCGGGUGCUAACGUCCGUCGUGAAGAGGGAAACAACCCAGACCGCCAGCUAAGGUCCCAAAGUCAUGGUUAAGUGGGAAACGAUGUGGGAAGGCCCAGACAGCCAGGAUGUUGGCUUAGAAGCAGCCAUCAUUUAAAGAAAGCGUAAUAGCUCACUGGUCGAGUCGGCCUGCGCGGAAGAUGUAACGGGGCUAAACCAUGCACCGAAGCUGCGGCAGCGACACUGUGUGUUGUUGGGUAGGGGAGCGUUCUGUAAGCCUGUGAAGGUGUGCUGUGAGGCAUGCUGGAGGUAUCAGAAGUGCGAAUGCUGACAUAAGUAACGAUAAAGCGGGUGAAAAGCCCGCUCGCCGGAAGACCAAGGGUUCCUGUCCAACGUUAAUCGGGGCAGGGUGAGUCGACCCCUAAGGCGAGGCCGAAAGGCGUAGUCGAUGGGAAACAGGUUAAUAUUCCUGUACUUGGUGUUACUGCGAAGGGGGGACGGAGAAGGCUAUGUUGGCCGGGCGACGGUUGUCCCGGUUUAAGCGUGUAGGCUGGUUUUCCAGGCAAAUCCGGAAAAUCAAGGCUGAGGCGUGAUGACGAGGCACUACGGUGCUGAAGCAACAAAUGCCCUGCUUCCAGGAAAAGCCUCUAAGCAUCAGGUAACAUCAAAUCGUACCCCAAACCGACACAGGUGGUCAGGUAGAGAAUACCAAGGCGCUUGAGAGAACUCGGGUGAAGGAACUAGGCAAAAUGGUGCCGUAACUUCGGGAGAAGGCACGCUGAUAUGUAGGUGAAGUCCCUCGCGGAUGGAGCUGAAAUCAGUCGAAGAUACCAGCUGGCUGCAACUGUUUAUUAAAAACACAGCACUGUGCAAACACGAAAGUGGACGUAUACGGUGUGACGCCUGCCCGGUGCCGGAAGGUUAAUUGAUGGGGUCAGCGCAAGCGAAGCUCUUGAUCGAAGCCCCGGUAAACGGCGGCCGUAACUAUAACGGUCCUAAGGUAGCGAAAUUCCUUGUCGGGUAAGUUCCGACCUGCACGAAUGGCGUAAUGAUGGCCAGGCUGUCUCCACCCGAGACUCAGUGAAAUUGAACUCGCUGUGAAGAUGCAGUGUACCCGCGGCAAGACGGAAAGACCCCGUGAACCUUUACUAUAGCUUGACACUGAACAUUGAGCCUUGAUGUGUAGGAUAGGUGGGAGGCUUUGAAGUGUGGACGCCAGUCUGCAUGGAGCCGACCUUGAAAUACCACCCUUUAAUGUUUGAUGUUCUAACGUGGACCCGUGAUCCGGGUUGCGGACAGUGUCUGGUGGGUAGUUUGACUGGGGCGGUCUCCUCCUAAAGAGUAACGGAGGAGCACGAAGGUUGGCUAAUCCUGGUCGGACAUCAGGAGGUUAGUGCAAUGGCAUAAGCCAGCUUGACUGCGAGCGUGACGGCGCGAGCAGGUGCGAAAGCAGGUCAUAGUGAUCCGGUGGUUCUGAAUGGAAGGGCCAUCGCUCAACGGAUAAAAGGUACUCCGGGGAUAACAGGCUGAUACCGCCCAAGAGUUCAUAUCGACGGCGGUGUUUGGCACCUCGAUGUCGGCUCAUCACAUCCUGGGGCUGAAGUAGGUCCCAAGGGUAUGGCUGUUCGCCAUUUAAAGUGGUACGCGAGCUGGGUUUAGAACGUCGUGAGACAGUUCGGUCCCUAUCUGCCGUGGGCGCUGGAGAACUGAGGGGGGCUGCUCCUAGUACGAGAGGACCGGAGUGGACGCAUCACUGGUGUUCGGGUUGUCAUGCCAAUGGCACUGCCCGGUAGCUAAAUGCGGAAGAGAUAAGUGCUGAAAGCAUCUAAGCACGAAACUUGCCCCGAGAUGAGUUCUCCCUGACCCUUUAAGGGUCCUGAAGGAACGUUGAAGACGACGACGUUGAUAGGCCGGGUGUGUAAGCGCAGCGAUGCGUUGAGCUAACCGGUACUAAUGAACCGUGAGGCUUAACCUU